This 441-nucleotide ribosomal RNA is filed under the name uncultured bacterium. Its description in RNAcentral is "partial 16S ribosomal RNA". It matches the Rfam family "Bacterial small subunit ribosomal RNA", at positions 338 to 795 of the family's 1533-position model. The record is from RNAcentral.
CCUACGGGUGGCAGCAGUGGGGAAUAUUGCACAAUGGGGGAAACCCUGAUGCAGCAACGCCGCGUGAGUGAAGACGUAUUUCUGUAUGUAAAGCUCUAUCAGCAGGGAAGAAGAACGCCGGUCCCUGACUAAGCAGCCCCGGCUCACUACGUGCCAGCAGCCUCGGUCAUUCGGAGGGGGCAAGCGGUAUCCGGAUUUACUGGGUUUAAAGGGAGCGUAGACGGCUGUGCAAGUCUGAAGUGAAAGCCCGGGGCUCAACCGCGGAACUGCUUUGGAAACUGUAUAGCUUGAGUACUGGAGAGGCAGGCGGAAUGCCUAGUGUAGCGGUGAAAUGCGUAGAUAUUAGGAGGAACACCAGUGGCGAAGGCGGCCUGCUGGACAGAAACUGACGUUGAGGCUCGAAAGCGUGGGGAGCAAACAGGAUUAGAUACCCUGGUAGUC